This is an RNA transcript of Glycine soja, 1150 nucleotides long. It is a transcript of the gene named endonuclease III homolog 1, chloroplastic-like, with no coding region annotated. The record is from RefSeq and is a predicted model, not a curated record. NCBI's taxonomy places the organism in Eukaryota, Viridiplantae, Streptophyta, Magnoliopsida, Fabales, Fabaceae. The transcript is spliced from 5 exons.
UGAUGAUGAAGCCAUGAGUUCCAGCUGUCACAUGCAAGACAAGACAACCUAGUUAAAACUUACAGAACAAACUUGCAUUUGUCAAAAUGUUUAUGUGAGUGUGGAGUUGCUAUCAGACAGGCUACAGCUAACAGAACACAGGACAAGAGUUUCAGAAAUGUUUCUACAUUCUCAUAAAUAAGUUCCUUUGCUCGAAAACACAAUGACAGAAGGAAACAAGGGAUUUUAGAAAGAAAAGGCGCCACCUUGGAAGAAAGAAAGGAAGAGAGCUUCACUGUCACUGUGCUUUGACGAAAGGACAGUGUACUCCUGUUUGUAACAUUUGCUGGGAAGCCAAAUUGAUGCUGAGGCUUAUUUAUAGGUUCAUUUAAAAGAGAUCCUAGGAUUUGCACAUACAGGACCAAAUGAAUCGGCUCAAAGUAGUAGUAACUAGUGAGGCCCCUGCACAUUGGGAAAUGGUUCUUCAAGGAAUUCGCCAAAUGAGGAGUUCUGCAGAUGAACACCAACCGGUUGCACGUGAGAAAGCCGCUGAUACUGUACCUUCUAAGGAAAGAAGAUUUGUUGUCCUGGCAUCUUCCCUUUUAUCAAGCCAAACUAAGGAACAGGUUACUCGUGGUAAGUACACAUUGCAUGAUAUAGAAGGUUGAACUAUGAAAAUCAAUACAUUGCAAAUCAACUGCUAAUUUAAGAGAUGCACCGCCAUUGUACUUCAGCCCCCUAAUUAUGUUUAUCACCUGUCUUCUUUAUGUGAUUAAUGCCUGUUGCUAAGUGUUAUCAUAUUCAACUUGUUUAUGAAACUGUUUUAAUUACAAGUGUGUAUUUUUAAGAGUAGGAGCAACUCAGUCUUCGUGAAAAUGGUCUGCUUAGCGCUGAUGCAAUGAACAAAGCUGAUGAAGAAACCAUCAAAAAGUUGAUUUGCCCUGUAUGUUCUUUGCCAAAGAAUCUAUCUAUGGUAUCUGCUGAAAACCAUUUACUCGUGCGAUUCAAAUAAUCUGGAUUUGGCGAAGGAAGCUACCUUUGAAGCAUCCAAUAUUUUCAUAGUUUUCAUGUUAGCAUGUCAAUUACUUUUGUUCUUAUGUUCAUUUUGUACUGUAUAAAUUAAAUUCCCAUGCGUGUACUUUAUGGUAUUCUUUUCCAAGGUUGGAUUUUA